AACGCGAAGAACCUUACCUGGGCUUGAACCGCACAGGACCAGCUUGAGAAAUCAGGCCUUCCCGCAAGGGACCUGUGUAGAGGUGCUGCAUGGCUGUCGUCAGCUCGUGCCGUGAGGUGUUGGGUUAAGUCCCGCAACGAGCGCAACCCUUACUCAUAGUUGCUACCCGCAAGGGAGAACUCUAUGAGGACUGCUCCGGAUAACGGAGAGGAAGGUGGGGAUGAGGUCAAGUCAGCAUGGCCUUUAUGUCCAGGGCUACACACGUGUUACAAUGCGCGCCACAAAGCGUUGCGAACCCGCGAGGGGGAGCUAAUCGCAAAAAAGCGCGCUCAGUUCGGAUUGCAGUCUGCAACUCGACUGCAUGAAGCCGGAAUCGCUAGUAAUGGCGCAUCAGAACGGCGCCGUGAAUACGUUCCCGGGCCUUGUACACACCGGAGUA
Molecule: ribosomal RNA, 439 nt
Filed under: uncultured bacterium
Lineage: Bacteria
Description: bacterial SSU rRNA
Rfam family: Bacterial small subunit ribosomal RNA
Source: RNAcentral